UUGACGUACACAAGCAGUCUUUCUCUGGGGUUCUGGAAUCGGGGGUGGGGAUUACUACCUUGAAAUCUGGCAGUGCUGUGGGAAGCACUGGGCAUGGAGGGACUCCCAACUUGUGCCCACCUAGGCGGUAACCGGAGAGUCCAGGCAGGCUCUAACUCGGGGCCCCAUGACUCACCGCAGCACCCCCACCCCUGCGCCAAGCUGCGGUCUCCGCCUACCCCCCCACACCACCUCUGCCACCGACUCUGGGAGCUGCUGAUUCCAAGGAGCUCAGCCGGGAGAUAAAGGGCCUCAGCCCCUUUGCCCCCCUCCCACACCUCAGCUUGCCCAGAUCUUCCAGCUCCCACUCUUUUGGCUGGCUUCGCCCUACAAAGGACCUUUCCUUUGGGAAGAAGACCCCAAGCGCGGCAGGCAGCAGAGCACCCCAGGAUCUCCUCUAAAAACAGGAGAGAGAAAAUUGUUGAGAGAGCCAAGAGUAAUGGGCCACGAAAUUCCCAUCAGAAGUCAAGCAUAGUGGACUGCCACUUGGAUUUCAUGGCCUCCUUUCAUGGUUUCCCUGAAACCCCUGCACUCUCAGAACUUUUCCACUCGUGACAGUGGUGUUUUAUUGCCCAGUUGCACCUUGGAGUUGACACCAUAGUCUCCAGCGAUGGAGGAGGAGAAGGGGUGGAAU
This is a long non-coding RNA of Dipodomys spectabilis (banner-tailed kangaroo rat), 673 nucleotides long. RefSeq lists it as uncharacterized. NCBI's taxonomy places the organism in Eukaryota, Metazoa, Chordata, Mammalia, Rodentia, Heteromyidae. The transcript has 3 exons. The record is from RefSeq and is a predicted model, not a curated record.